GCUUACGGCCUCACUGCCUGGUUCACGCCCGAUCUCGUUUGUUCUCGGAAGCUAAGAUAGGUUGGGCCUGGUUAGUACUUGGAUGGGACGGCGCCUGGGAAUACCAGGUGCUGUAAGCU
Ribosomal RNA from Scophthalmus maximus (turbot), 119 nucleotides. NCBI's taxonomy places the organism in Eukaryota, Metazoa, Chordata, Actinopteri, Pleuronectiformes, Scophthalmidae. The record is from Ensembl.